RNAcentral lists this ribosomal RNA (254 nucleotides) under uncultured bacterium. RNAcentral's name for it is "partial 16S ribosomal RNA". It matches the Rfam family "Bacterial small subunit ribosomal RNA", at positions 524 to 776 of the family's 1533-position model. The record is from RNAcentral.
UACGGGGGGAGCAAGCGUUGUUCGGAUUUACUGGGCGUAAAGGGCGCGUAGGCGGUCGUGACAAGUCACUUGUGAAAUCUCCGGGCUUAACUCGGAACGGUCAAGUGAUACUGUCGGACUAGAGUACAGAAGGGGCAACUGGAAUUCUCGGUGUAGCGGUGAAAUGCGUAGAUAUCGGGAGGAACACCAGUGGCGAAGGCGGUUACCUGGAGCUUUGCUGACGCUGAUGCGCGAAAGCGUGGGGAGCGAUCCGG